This 19-nucleotide microRNA is filed under the name Prunus persica (peach). RNAcentral's name for it is "microRNA miRNA_355". The record is from RNAcentral. Lineage: Eukaryota; Viridiplantae; Streptophyta; Magnoliopsida; Rosales; Rosaceae.
GUCGGACCAGGCUUCAUUC